AUUGAACGCUGGCGGCAGGCCUAACACAUGCAAGUCGAGCGGAUGAAGGGAGCUUGCUCCUGGAUUCAGCGGCGGACGGGUGAGUAAUGCCUAGGAAUCUGCCUGGUAGUGGGGGAUAACGUCCGGAAACGGGCGCUAAUACCGCAUACGUCCUGAGGGAGAAAGUGGGGGAUCUUCGGACCUCACGCUAUCAGAUGAUCCUAGGUCGGAUUAGCUAGUUGGUGGGGUAAGGGCCUACCAAGGCGACGAUCCGUAACUGGUCUGAGAGGAUGAUCAGUCACACUGGAACUGAGACACGGUCCAGACUCCUACGGGAGGCAGCAGUGGGGAAUAUUGGACAAUGGGCGAAAGCCUGAUCCAGCCAUGCCGCGUGUGUGAAGAAGGUCUUCGGAUUGUAAAGCACUUUAAGUUGGGAGGAAGGGCAGUAAGUUAAUACCUUGCUGUUUUGACGUUACCAACAGAAUAAGCACCGGCUAACUUCGUG
This 484-nucleotide ribosomal RNA is filed under the name uncultured bacterium. RNAcentral's name for it is "partial 16S ribosomal RNA". It matches the Rfam family "Bacterial small subunit ribosomal RNA", at positions 30 to 507 of the family's 1533-position model. The record is from RNAcentral.